CUGGUAUGCAAAUUUUUAGCGGAGUAGGCGGGGUUGAAGUGAGAGGCAAGGCAGCGGUUGUGUUUGAUCUUGUAUCGUGCCACGAAGAGACAGAGCAGUGAGUGGCGCUGUGUGGCGAGCCGGCUGUGUGGGCCGGUCUUCCUGGAGCAGCUGUGUGGCAGUGGUUUGUCAGUUGACGAGCAGAUGUCCAGAAAUAAUGGCUGAGUGCAGAGUGAAUAAAUGCUACUAUUCUGGUGCGUUGAUGAAGAAAGUUCAUCUAGAGGACAAGCAAGGAAGACCACUGGAUGAAGUAAAAGACUGUUGGUUGGACUGUCAUGAUGCUAAAAGGACAAUAGAUGGUAGAAGAGACCAUGGAAUAGAAGACUGAAAACCUCAUAAAUCACUAUCGGAGCCUGUAUAUGUUAAUUGUCUCAUGUGUAAUUCAUGAAUAUGUACCAUCUGUGGAAAUAUAAUGAACUCUGAAUCAUGUAAUCUUUGAAGUGCUUAUGGUGGAAAUAGCCCCCGCGCUUCCUGGUGCCUCUAAUAAAGAAUACUUGACUUAACAGUAACAAAAUUUUGCUGUUAAGUUUCUUCGAUUCACACUCAACUCACAUACUAAACAGCAUGGAAGUUUCAGUUUCCUUCCAAUCCUUGGAUUGCAAGACACAAUACUUUCAGAGUUCAUACUUUACUAGCUUCCAUUCACUCAACACUAGAUACUCUGAACUAUUCACUCCCUCUUUGUUCCUAAGAGGCUUCAAAUUCUAGUCCUCUCCUGACUUAAUACAUCUCCAUAUCUUUGCACAUAUUCUCUGGCUUUAGCCCUUUAUCUCAGCCACAUCCUUCUUCUGUCCUGCCCAAAUGGCUCACUGUUUACCAACCCAUUCAAGCAACUCCUGUGGAAUCUCAGUGACAUUUAAGUAGGAAUGGAUCUCUGUGAGUCAUCUUUUACUGUUUUUUUUUAGUACACUUCUGAUUUUAGUGAAAAAGAGGGUGGGAAAGAAAUGAGCUCCAAGAAGCACCUUUUAAAAUAUCCUUUAUUUGUGUAUCAUCCUAUUAAAAAAACUUUUAUAUAAAGGCAAAAAAGGUAUUGCAUAGAAGAAACACUGGUGCAAACAUCACCUGGUGGGAAUGGUAUGUUGUUUCUUUGUGUCUACUAUCUACUGCACAACAGACCGCUGGCUAGUCUGCAGGUAAACAUCUCCAUGUUUCCCCACAUAGGCUACAAGAUGAAGCUGUUCAACCCUACAGAAGUAAGUUACAUCAGAAUGUGUGCUCUAUUCCAUGCUGCUCCCAAAAAAUAUCAGCUAGGAAAAUACCCUUUCCUUUAUUGUCUUUUAUAUACUUGACCAAAAUACUUUCCAAAAAAGACCACAAGGAGCAAUUCUGCUGUCUUCUGCUUGCACUUCCCCUGUGUAUGUUUGUAGUCCACGUAUAUUAAUAGUAAUGGAGACAGUGAGGAGGGACACAGGUAAGAGAGUUGGCAUAACUUGACCAUAGUCCAAGAACUCAAUGCAUAGCAUAGACAACUAAUCUGUUAUCAUUGAUAAAUUUAUGCCAUUGUUUGUAACAUCUCACAUGCUACAUCUCACAUGCUAUGUGCAGAGAGUGUGCUCUUUUCAGUGCCCUCCACUUGCAAUUCCUAUAACUAAAAACCUUGGUACCACCAAGAGGGAACAUAAUUCACUGCUUUCACUUCCACAGUUUUCAAGCAGUUUUCCCAAUAUGUCUCUGCUAAGUGCUGAUGCAGCUUCCAAAUAUAAAGCACAGUGAGACAGCAGAUACACUACAAUCUGAAGAAAUAUUCAAAGAAACAGCAUUUUCACACAGUUGAACUGUGCUUUCAUGAAUUAGAGAUGCGGAGAGGUAUGUAUUGAUACAAAUCAAUAUUUGUGUAUACUAAAUGUAUUUUUACUGAAUUAUCACUUUUUUUAAUUUAAAAACAUGCUAAAACCUUGCAGCUAAAUAACUAAAAUGAUGUCUGGGGAAAAUGCAUAGACAGCCACCCAUCAACAUAAGAAAGAAAAGUGCAUAUAUAUAUGAGACCAAACAGUUACGAGACAGUCAGUGCUUUCCCUGACAAACUUACUGAUGCAGCCUCAGUUUCCAAGGCUGUUUCUGCUGCCUAGAAAAUGGCAUUACUUUUAUUCUCUUUUCAGGAUAUCUGUCUUCUCCCACAUCAGUGAGUCAGCUAAUGACAAAAACCAGCCCUGCUCUUGACUACCUUACUGUAGAGUGGCUUCACAAAGAUGAAUACACAAAGCUUAUGUAACUACUUCAAUUAAUAUUGUGUUUAGAAUAAUAAAAGUAAUCUUCAGAUUAGGAUCUAUGCUACUUACUAUUAGAUUGCAAAACGGAAUGAAGCAUUCUAAAAUAAGUUUAGACGGAAGGCAAAAUAGUCAAAUUUGCAACUACGCAUUUCUCCUCUGUUUUACUCAUAAACUUUAAUUUUUUUUUUUUACUUUCUUAUUAUUUUCACUUUUUUUUUUUCUUUUUUUUUUUCUUUUUUGUAUAAAAGCUGUAUGUAGAUUGAAAUUUAAGGUGUAGCAGGUAUCACUGUGCAACCCAAGAGGACAGAUGUGAUGUGAUGCGCCUUGUUCUUCUUGAACCCCAGAGAAAAUUAAAGAAAGCAAAGCACCUUUGCCCAAAGGGAGAAUGCAAUAGAGCCAUUAGAUGAAAAUUGUUCUGUCUUUUCUUGUAGAAAUAGCAAUACAUUUUACUAAUUUUGUAUAUAGUCUUACAUGUAGCAGCAAGUACACUGGGCAUCAGAGCCCCUUCAUCGAUGAGCAACAUCUCCAAUAAGGCUCAGAUGUUCUUGGUCCCAAUUUUUGUUAGAAAUGGAAUUAAAACUGGAUUCAGUUUCUGUGCUUUCCUUCUACUCCUUCCCUGGAUUUCAAAGGCAAUGCAAAUUAAAUAGGUGAGCCCAUACAGCAUUUUUCAGUAGGAAACAAGAGAUUUGUGAAACUUCAGGCAUCAUGCUCUUGUGGACAAAGGCCAUGCUUUAAGAUUAGUAACUGCCUUCAUCACUGUAAUAUCCAAAAUCCAAAUUCAUCUCUCUGUCCCAUGCAUUCACACUCUUUCCAUCAUACUGAUCUCAAAGGAACGUCAAAAAGUGACAAAGUCCACACAAAAUGCUAUUGCUGUCCGAUUUACAAAUGCAAACAGAACCUACUAUGAAGAUAAACAGGGUACUCAUACUUCCCAGAUAGGAAGCGGCCCAACUGUUAUUUCAGCUCAUCAUGAAAAGAUUGGCUGAAUUAUACAAUGAAACCAAUAUAUUUUAAGAGUUUAAAGCAUAAAUAUUCAGACUGGACAUUAGGAGAAAUGUAUUUACCACAGGAGUAGUUUGACAUGGCAUGGCUCUGAAUGGGAUAUCACAGAAGCAUAAAAUCUCCAUCCUUAGCAGUUUCUGUUAUUCAGUCUAAUAACAUCAUAGUGAGUUCCACCUCACAUAGGUCACAGCUCUCUUCUGAGAGUGACAUUGGAUGAGGUAACCUAAAAAGAUCCCCUCUAACUGCCGCUAAUAUAAGCAGUAGAAUUCCUUUCAGAGCUGAGUUGAGCCCUGACUGGAGCUAAAACACAACAUCCUCCAAUGGCCUUUUCUUCUUCCUUCACAAAACUGUAAAACUUAGGAGAGAUCUCUUAAAAAAAAAAAAAAAAAAAAAAAAA
Molecule: non-coding RNA, 3648 nt
Organism: Phasianus colchicus (ring-necked pheasant)
Lineage: Eukaryota; Metazoa; Chordata; Aves; Galliformes; Phasianidae
Source: RefSeq, a predicted model, not a curated record